GUGUGCUGCCCGCCAGUAUACCCACAGGAGAACAGGAAGUCGGGCCAUAUCCGCCUAUAUUAUGCACACAGCACGGCUGGCAGACUACGGGGACAGAAAACCCUUUGAAAAUGGGUUCCCUAUUAAUGGGAGGCUUGUUGCUGUUUAUUCCAGACGCUAAGGCUGACUAUGAAACAUCCUGUUUGUGAAGACACAGUUGCUGAAUCCCAUCAUAACAAUGGAGGUUUGCAGGCCACCAUGCUGACAUCAAUUUCAGCAUUGGACUCGUUUCCAUCCUGUUUGGCCUCUCCUGCAUUUGCUGUCAUUGCUUGCAUCUGAUUCAGCAACUGUCAUUCUGCAUUUCUGUUUACUUGCAUUUUGAACCCUUAGCAAUAAUAAAAGUCUUAGGAGUUUUCCAUUUGG
Myxocyprinus asiaticus (Chinese sucker) is the source of this 402-nucleotide long non-coding RNA. RefSeq lists it as uncharacterized. Lineage: Eukaryota; Metazoa; Chordata; Actinopteri; Cypriniformes; Catostomidae. The transcript is spliced from 3 exons. The record is from RefSeq and is a predicted model, not a curated record.